UGCCAGCCGCCGCGGUAACACGGGGGGCGCAAGCGUUAUUCGGAAUUAUUGGGCGUAAAGGGCGCGCAGGCGGUCUUGUCCGUCAGGUGUGAAAGCCCUGGGCUCAACCUGGGAAUUGCAUUCGAUACUGCUUAGCUGGAGUAUGAGAGAGGGUAGUGGAAUUCCGGGUGUAGCGGUGAAAUGCGUAGAUAUCCGGAGGAACAUCAGUGGCGAAGGCGGCUGCCUGGCUCAAUACUGACACUGAGGUGCGAAAGCGUGGGGAGCAAACAGGAUUAGAUA
This 279-nucleotide ribosomal RNA is filed under the name uncultured bacterium. RNAcentral's name for it is "partial 16S ribosomal RNA". It matches the Rfam family "Bacterial small subunit ribosomal RNA", at positions 506 to 784 of the family's 1533-position model. The record is from RNAcentral.